RNAcentral lists this ribosomal RNA (453 nucleotides) under uncultured bacterium. RNAcentral's name for it is "partial 16S ribosomal RNA". It matches the Rfam family "Bacterial small subunit ribosomal RNA", at positions 355 to 800 of the family's 1533-position model. The record is from RNAcentral.
UAGGGAAUCUUCGGCAAUGGACGAAAGUCUGACCGAGCAACGCCGCGUGAGUGAAGAAGGUUUUCGGAUCGUAAAACUCUGUUGGUAGAGAAGAACGUUGGUGAGAGUGGAAAGCUCAUCAAGUGACGGUAACUACCCAGAAAGGGACGGCUAACUAUGUGCCAGCAGCCGCGGUAAUACGUAGGUCCCGAGCGUUGUCCGGAUUUAUUGGGCGUAAAGCGAGCGCAGGUGGUUUAUUAAGUCUGGUGUAAAAGGCAGUGGCUCAACCAUUGUAUGCAUUGGAAACUGGUAGACUUGAGUGCAGGAGAGGAGAGUGGAAUUCCAUGUGUAGCGGUGAAAUGCGUAGAUAUAUGGAGGAACACCGGUGGCGAAAGCGGCUCUCUGGCCUGUAACUGACACUGAGGCUCGAAAGCGUGGGGAGCAAACAGGAUUAGAUACCCUGGUAGUCCACGC